CAAAACUGCUUCGCCAUAUCCUU
This 23-nucleotide small nuclear RNA is filed under the name Arabidopsis thaliana (thale cress). RNAcentral's name for it is "snRNA_02911". The record is from RNAcentral. Lineage: Eukaryota; Viridiplantae; Streptophyta; Magnoliopsida; Brassicales; Brassicaceae.